AAACUUAAAUGAAUUGACGGGGACCCGCACAAGCAGCGGAGCAUGUGGUUUAAUUCGAAGCAACGCGAAGAACCUUACCAAGGCUUGACAUCCUCUGACAGCCAUAGAAAUAUGGAUUCCCUUCGGGGCAGAGAGACAGGUGGUGCAUGGUUGUCGUCAGCUCGUGUCGUGAGAUGUUGGGUUAAGUCCCGCAACGAGCGCAACCCUUAUCAUUAGUUGCCAGCACGUAAGGUGGGAACUCUAAUGAGACUGCCGGGGAUAACUCGGAGGAAGGUGGGGACGACGUCAAAUCAUCAUGCCCCUUAUGUCUUGGGCUACACACGUGCUACAAUGGCCGGUACAAAGGGCUGCGAAGCCGUAAGGUGGAGCGAAUCCCAUAAAGCCGGCCUCAGUUCGGAUCGUGGGCUGCAACCCGCCCACGUGAAGCCGGAGUUGCUAGUAAUCGCGAAUCAGCAUGUCGCGGUGAAUGCGUUCCCGGGUCUUGUACACACCGCCCGUCACACCAUGGGAGUUGGGAGCGCCCGAAGCCAGUGAGCUAACCAGCAAUGGAGGCAGCUGUCGAAGGUGAGACCAAUGACUGGGGUGAAGUCGUAACAAGGUAGCCGUAUCGGAAGGUGCGGCUGGAUCACCUCCUUUUG
This 638-nucleotide ribosomal RNA is filed under the name uncultured Lachnospiraceae bacterium. RNAcentral's name for it is "bacterial SSU rRNA". It matches the Rfam family "Bacterial small subunit ribosomal RNA", at positions 897 to 1533 of the family's 1533-position model. The record is from RNAcentral. Lineage: Bacteria; Bacillati; Bacillota; Clostridia; Lachnospirales; Lachnospiraceae.